UCUUGGUCAGAUUGAACGCUGGCGGCAUGCCUUACACAUGCAAGUCGAACGGUAACAGGUCUUCGGAUGCUGACGAGUGGCGAACGGGUGAGUAAUACAUCGGAACGUGCCCGAUCGUGGGGGAUAACGAGGCGAAAGCUUUGCUAAUACCGCAUACGAUCUACGGAUGAAAGCGGGGGAUCUUCGGACCUCGCGCGGACGGAGCGGCCGAUGGCAGAUUAGGUAGUUGGUGGGAUAAAAGCUUACCAAGCCGACGAUCUGUAGCUGGUCUGAGAGGAUGAUCAGCCACACUGGGACUGAGACACGGCCCAGACUCCUACGGGAGGCAGCAGUGGGGAAUUUUGGACAAUGGGCGAAAGCCUGAUCCAGCCAUGCCGCGUGCAGGAUGAAGGCCUUCGGGUUGUAAACUGCUUUUGUACGGAACGAAAAGCCUCUUUCUAAUAAAGAGGGGUCAUGACGGUACCGUAAGAAUAAGCACCGGCUAACUACGUGCCAGCAGCAGC
RNAcentral lists this ribosomal RNA (503 nucleotides) under uncultured bacterium. Its description in RNAcentral is "bacterial SSU rRNA". It matches the Rfam family "Bacterial small subunit ribosomal RNA", at positions 18 to 518 of the family's 1533-position model. The record is from RNAcentral.